Molecule: non-coding RNA, 11566 nt
Organism: Coturnix japonica (Japanese quail)
Lineage: Eukaryota; Metazoa; Chordata; Aves; Galliformes; Phasianidae
Source: RefSeq, a predicted model, not a curated record
ACUGGAAGGAUUGAAAUAAUUGCAAUAUAAUUUAUGUCAAGAGAGUACUGAGACACACUUCAGCUACUACCAUGGAAGGAAAACUAAAACCCUUCUAUGGCUAAAACUCUGCAUAAAGAAGCUACUGCUUAAGCAUGGUUUAUUGGAAGAUAAGCAAGUUAGCCCCUCCAGAGUUUGUUCAUUGGAGUCUGGAAAAUUACACACACCCUGUGGGGUAUUUAAUAUACAAGGCAGAACUGGAUGAAUUUUAGUGUAAUGACCCAUUUCAUUUUACAACUUCUUGCUUGAAAAUAGUCUGUGAGCUACAGUUUUGUGGACUUCAGCAGUAAUUCAGAAAUUAUUUAGCCACUUCAAUAAUAAUUCAUCUUCCUUCUUCUGUUGUGAACAUAUUACUGCUAGUUUUCAGUACUGUAAGUUAAAUACGAGCUAUUCUGGCUGGCUAUAUAGACAGUCAUAUUUCUGUUUCUCUUGCUGGAGAAGUCAAGUUUCUGUGAAUACUUGCAUAUAGAAAAUUUGCUUACUGUAAAUAUUUGUGUAAAUUGUAACUAUUAUACAGCCAUUCCUGCCAGUAAAUUUUUCUACUAGCAUGUUUGCAUGAAAUAAGCAUAUAGAGGCUGCACAUGAGCACAGCUGAAAUCUAUUCAGUGAGAAAUGAAUAUCAGUAUAUUCUCACAAAUGUUUUCAAAUAUUCAUCCAGCUCUUCUUCUCCACAUACGCUUUGCAGCUAAAUCUGCAGACACUCCAGCAGUACAGCAUAAGAUGAAUAUGAGGAUGCUAUGUCUUUUUUUCUGCCUUCAUGUGGCAGUAGGAAAUGUGAUAAUGUCAGAAGGUACAGUGCGCAUAAACAAAUCUGCCAGCUAAAAUGCUUAAGACCAGACAAAUUUUAUAGGAGAUGAGUGUUUAUAUAUGCAUCUACAUAUGUGGGUUUAGUUUAUUUUAAAAAAAAAAAAAAAAAAGAGUUUGUGGUGAGGAAAGCCAAUGAAGAGAUGCGGAUGAUGUAGGUAAGUGGUCACUGUGGACAGAAUGACCCUGGAAGGAAUGGAACUUCUGGGUAGAUUCUGCUAUCCAUCAUUCUGUGAUUUGUAUUACAAGCGACAGCUGAACUGCCAUAGAUGAAUGUGUGCUUGAGGCUGAACUUUCAAAUCCCCAAAUAUUUACAAAUAGAAAAUAGCAGGUCAAAGCCCGAUUUUUUUUUCCAGUUAGAUACAGCAUGUUACAGGAUGUUUCAGUGACCUUCUUACUUGUCAUUUCUAAGGAAGUACCACUACUAUCCUGAGAAAGACUGUAUGUUCAGUGAUGGACCCACUGUCACUACGUGCUACUUGUGUGGCAGUGCCCUGUGUGCAGUGCUGGAGCUCGUGCUGUUCAGCAUCUGAGAUAUUUCUGCAGGAAAAGGUAAUUCCACUGCUGUAGGGCCUGAAUGAGAUCCCUGAGUCUUAUUUGUAGCUGAACGACCAUUUCUGAAUAUAAAGCUUGGAUGAGCUCUCUGGAUGUGCACAGAAGAUCCACAGUACAGACAGCCUGCCUCAAAGAUGAAUGUCUGUAGUUCUGUUCAUUUUUAGUGAAGAGGACAAACACUGAACCCCAAGAGGUUGCUGCCAACUCCAUGUUAUAAACUGGAAAUAUGAAGUCUGUUCCCAACUGGAGAUCUGUGCACAGGUCAGAACCAGCCUAUAGACUACGAUGUAACUCAAAGGGAAGAAAUGACCUGUCAGAAUGUUAGCAGAGGCCUUCUAACACCCAGCAGUUUUCACCUGAUGCACUGAGACCUUCAGGCCUCCCUGCUGCAGAGGUGUUUGUAGAGAAUCAGCAAGUGGAGGGUAAUUUCCCUAUAGAUGGACACCCUACAACCUCUUGGAAUGACUUUUGGAAGAACUGUCCCAUACAAUGGAGCAUCUCACCGUUCUCCAGCAAAUCCUGGCAGGCACGCACAGGCCAGCUUGCCUCCAAGAUCAGUACAGUUGCCGUAAUUAUAACAGGUUCACCAGAAGACCUGCACGCAAUUUUGGAUUCAGUUAAUCUAUAGUGCACAGUUAUUUCCAUGUGGUGCCCAGAAAACUGCUUUUCCAUCCAAUCUAUGGCACAGAGUGAUUAUUCAUAUUAUGAAUUCAAAAAUCACAGAGGAGGGAUGUCAUCCAGACUCUUUGAAAGCAGGAACCUGAGGUUUUACACCUAGAACACGUACAGACGUUCAGAUGUGGAGGCCGAAAGAACUGACCCUCAGCUGAAGAAAUGCAAGACUUUGGCAUCAAUGAAAAGUGCUGACACCCAGAUGAAAGGAUCUGACUUUUUGCCUUGCAGAAGGGCAGUUGGCUUAGUUCAUAUAUAUGAGGCUCUUUGUGUCAGCACUUGGAAACAGAAGUUAAAUUGGAAGGGACAGACAAGGACCUGCUAGUCCACCUGUGUGGGUGGGAUACCCACAAAUUCAAGCCACAGCUCCAGCAGCCAGACUGAUCAGAGCCUGCCUGCACGUGGGUCCACUGACUCCUGGGGAGUAAGGGAGUCCUCAUUGUGACUGAAAGCAGUGUAAGCCCUAACCAGACCAGAAGGACACAGGUGAGGGCAAUAGACGGGCAGUGGGAGGAUAAAGGUCUGAGCCUAACGAAGGGCCCACCUUCUCAGCCGUCUUACAGAGCACGGGAGAUGUUGAAGAGCAGGAGGAGAGCAAAAGAAACCCGGCAGCUGGACAUCGCUGGAAGGAAGCGGAGAGCACGAAGCAGCGUCUGAAGGGGAACUUGGGGAGGAUUAUGAUUCUCUCUUCUUAGGAUCAUGGCUGUACACGCCAUUUAUUUUUAAUAUCAGCUCUAGCAUAGCCCCAUGCACCGGGCUGCAUUUAUAACAAACUGGGCGUUAUGUUCCCAAGGAGAAGCGCUCCUUGUGGUCCCAGUGCGCCUCUGUAGGAUGUUGGGCAGAGUGCAGGGAUGAGAACAUGAGAACACUGGGUCUGGGCAUCGCCGCUCGAUGAAAAUGUUCAUUGGUUACUGCUUGUUUCUUUGUGUUUCGCGCAUCCAACACAGCAACUCUGCAUAGUGAGUUCUAAAUUCGCGUCGCAAACACAAGUUUACGCUUUAACCCAGACGUGGUUACAAAUUACCGUCCCACAGCCCCACUGAACGGCCGCCAGAGGGAUCCCCGAGCCGCCCAUCCCCCGGGGCCCUCCGUUUGGCAGCGCUCACCGCGGAUGCCCGGCGGGCAGUCGCACACGUAGCCCUCGGCGCUGUCGUGUCGGAAGGGCGGCUGCAGCGCAGGUUCGUGGCCGUAGCGGGUGGCCCAGGAGCGCUCCAGGCAGCGGCCCGCGGCGCACGGCGCGCUGCUGCACUCGCUGAUGUCGGUCUCGCAGUGGGAGCCGGUGUAGCCUACAAGGGUGAGCACAGAAGGAAAAGAACUGAUCCAACCACCAGCCCAUCCCCGCCGUGUCGCUAACCACGUCCAUCAGUGCUGCUUCUCCUCGGUUCUUGAACGCUUCCAGGGACAGAGACUCCACCACCUCCCUGGGCAGCCUGUUCCAAUGUACCACUGCUCUGGACUCCCCCCCCCGCCUUCCAGUGAGAAACAGAGUCCAGCAAGCAGUGCGCUCAUGCACCUCUUCUAAGGCCAUGUGGCUUCAUGCUUUCAUUGUAUCAGCAAAAAAAAGGUGAAUUUAUCUAACCCAGAGGGAUAGGUGGUGUUACAGGAGAACCUGGGGCUUACCUGGCCAGCAGUGACAGAUGUAUCCAUCAGCACUGUCCUCACAUGUGGCGUUGUUGUAGCAUGGAUGUGACCAGCACGGGGGUACAGCGGUGUCACAGUGCAGGCCCAUGAACCCAGUGCCGGUGCAGUUGCAGCUGUACCUGUGCACAGGAAAAAGCAGUCACUGCAGGAGACCAGGCUCUGUUCCCAAACAUGCCCAGAGCUCACGUGCUUUUCUUAGGUUUUAAUAUAGAAAUGUCAAUUACUUGCGUAGUUCCAAUAUUAACAGUAUCAUUCACUUGUUUUCGCUAGCAAUGCCAUUGUUAUGUGUUUAGACCUGAACAAACUGGGUAAUAUAUACAAAUACUAGAAAAUGUGCAUCUGAAAUCAUGGGGGGUCUUGCUGAGUAAUGGUUAAGACUAAACUUCUUUGGUAAUUUCUGUGUUUAAUACCAAAAUCUCAGAUCUGGAGUAAAUACAUGCAUGCUGGGCAUGAGGGAGUGCCAGAGAAACACUGGCCUCUGGGUCUGGCAGUCAAGUACAGGCUUUUCAGUGCCCUUUUUAAGUAAGCAAAAAUGUAUGGCAGGGCAGUGUGUUACUUGUGUAUGGGUUGUGCUUAAAUUUAAGAGAUGACUCAGUCCAGGUGACAUUUGGAUUGAAGAUAUAAAAUGUAAUGAUGAUGUGAAUCAGAAAAAAAAUGAUUUUCAUAUUGAUACAUUUUCAGGCUUUAAAAAAAUCUCAUGCUGAUCCCAGUGAACAAAUGCACACCAGAGCUCUUGGGCUGCGCUGGACUUCUGGGCAGGGCUGGUCCUGUUAGGUGGAGCAGCUUCCUUGCCCUGAAUUAUCUUCGUUUACUACACUUCUGUGAAUGGGCUGCAGGUAGUUUUGCAUCGGGAGCUGUGUAUUGUGUAUAUAAGUACCAGACAGUCUCCUAAUGGAGUCUAUCACUAUGGUUACUGUGAUUACUUUUGCUGCGCGGUCUCCUCCCCUUGACCCACCCGCUCCCGCUGUCCGGCUCUGCCCCACGCUCACCCCCCGGGCCGGUCGGUGCAUUGCGCUCCGUGCAGGCAGGGGCUGCUGGCGCACUCGUCCACGUCCGUCUGGCAGAGGGCGCCGCGGAAGCCGGGCGGACACAAGCAGGAGAAGGCGGCCGGAGCGUCGCGGCAGGUGGCGCCGUUCUGGCACGGCCGGGACUGGCACUCGUCCACAUCCAGCUCGCAGUUGACGCCUGGGGGGGAGAGGAGGGAGAAUGCGGGGUUAGCGAGAGGCUCCCGUUGUUGCUUUGUUGUUUCGGGGUGUGGUUGGUUGGUCUUUGCUCCAAUGUUUCGAGUGGAAGUGCCGCAGUGUGCGGCGUUUUGGUUUUGUUCUCUUGCGAGGCUUGGGAGAGUUCACCAAAUACCUGAGCAAAUAGCAAGAGCAGAACUUUUGAUGUUAACUCUAACACAGGGACAAGUUAAAUUUUCUCUCAUUCGGACCGUGCUACUGUUAUCUUUGUGUAGGACACGUGAUUAAGAAUUUAACUCUUUCCUGAUGCUGCUUUUCCUGUUCUGCUCUGAAAUUAGUACAUUUAACUAGGAACUUUUUGUUUCUUCUGAAAAUAUUGAUUGCUGCUAUUAUUUCUCUAAUCUCUGGUGUAUGUAGUCCCUCUGGACAUAGCAUGCUCAUCUAAAGACAAAUAAACAUCCAUAGAAUGGAUAAAUAUCUGAAAAUAUCUUAAAAUAUCAAAACCAAACGGGAAGCUGUUAGCUCGUAACUAUUUUCACUGCGUUUAAACUUAAUUCUCAUUAAAAUAUGUGCACUUUUUUUCAUCAUACUGGUAGUUAUGAGGCACGGUUACCAUAAUCUUAGGGAAUGUAUUCUUAAAACUUCUUGAGGUCACAGAUAAAGCAUGAGAUGGGUAAUGCCCCCAGCCUGUGCCUCGGGGGUUUGGCUGCCAAUGGGGAGCACCGCAGUGAUCCUGUGUGGAUUUAUGGUAAUGUGCAUCGCAUCCAGACAUAGUGAGUGAUCCCUCUGCAGUCGUUGCCCUGCGAAUCCGCUGUAAUUGUAAGCAAUGUGUUUGCAGAAGUGUGCCUAGUGACCGUAAAUCUGCCAGAGCGUGUUAACAGCUCACGGCAAGCACUGCGAGCCAUGUGACAAAACAAGCCCCGCUCAGCGGAGCCUCGGCCCGGCCAGCUUUCAGACCGUGGCGAUUAACAGGAGAGCUCAGCGCUGUUUUGUGCUUCACGUCUUUAAUCUAUCAGCCCAGCAACCUGCCUUAGGCAAUGCUGCCUCAGAAGAAAACUUCCCUCCCUGAUGUGCCCAGCCGAUGUGAUGUGCCGCCCGAACUGGGAUUCCUUCCCAGCCGCAGCGAGUCUGCUGUCAGGUUUUCUCAGUUGCGAGGAAGAGAGAUGAAAAGAUUGGAUCUGCAUUUGCACCUCAGUCUCAUGUUCUGUCAUGAAUAUGCUGAGCGCCAAACAUCGUGUGCCAGCAGGCAGGAAAGGAGGGCAGUGCCGGGCACUCCUUAGCCACUCCGUGGGGCCAGGACUUAGGGAGAUGUGUCAGUGCCAUGUGUACCUCACCACACUGGUGCUUGGGAUUGGGAAGAUGGAUUUUAGUGAUGUUUAUAACUUGUGGUUUCUUGGGAGACUACCUAUACGGCUUGUUUUCCAGAUGAGUCCUGCUGUGCUCUUCUUUGACAAUAAAAGGUAAAUGCAGGUGAAGGUGAAAGAUGUGUGGCCCCUACUUCCAGUUCUCAGGGUUGGACAGAGGAAUGUGUGGGCCCUGUGCAGCCCGAAGGGGGGGAUCCAGGCCCCCUUCCCUUCCUGCACUGUAGUGUGGAGCUCAGGCACCCUGGGAAGGGGAGAGCCUCCUAGAAUCCCUCUAUCUGUAUGGAGUGAGGUUGUGUCCCACCACCCAGAUGGGGUGUGUUGGAUAGCCUUCCUGAUUUUUCCUAAUCACCAGAUCUAAAAGAUCUGAAAGAGCAUAGAGCUCAUGCCUUCCCUCCAGCAGAAUUCAUAGAAGGAAUCCCCUGUUGGAAGGAAAUGUUUGAUUUUAUGGGGCGAGGUGAUGUUUUGGCACAAGGCUGAACACAGGCAGGCACAAGAACAGCAGUAGUGGUGCUUUGAUUCAACAAGAUUUUUUGCCACUUAGCAGUUUUCCUAUGUUCUUUUGGCAUGGCACCGGUUUGAAUAGCAGUGUGACAAUCUGUACCAGCAACCAGCUUGUGGGAUAGAUGUUCCAUGCUGGUAGCCUGACAACUGGGCGCCCAAAGGCUGUGGCAGUGUUCCUUUUAGUGCCUAAGGCAUACAGUGCAUCUGCCGUAAAUACUUGCAUGGUGUGUGUUUACUGCUAAGAAUACUGAGUGAGAACUAGGAUUCAUCAGUUAAUGAUUUCCUCUUAUUGUACAUUCUGCUUCAGUUACAUCAUAGUAAGAGGUACUGCAUGAGGAAUGGAUAUAGUCCAUUGUACCUAUCUCAUCUGACCCUGAAGCACUUUCUCUGUGCAAAAGGCAUACCGCUGUCUUGGGCUUGGGCUGGUUUUUGGAGCAGUCACAUGUCCUGGGUAGUUCACAGCAAAGCGUUUGAGAGGACUGGCUUCCUUUGGCGGAGUGCAGUGUGAUAAUUAGCAUCCCCGGCUGUGGGCAGCCAACAGGCGCCAUCGCCCGACUCUGCUGGGGUGAAUUAAAGCAAGUGUAAUUAGGCCAAUGGAGGGAAGGAGGCAUUUGAUUAAGGUAGCCAGCAAAACUUCGACGAGGCAAUUGGGCUUCAUUAUUUAACAGCUGCAUGACACAUGUCUUGUAAAUAAUUUCACACAUGUAGAACAUUAUCAUUGAAACUGCAGAUUUCAUGCUAAAUUUUCCAGUCUCGGGCUCUUGGUGUGUUCUAACCUCUUCCAUUUGUGCAAGAAUUAUGUGUGACAUUUCUCAGCUAUUUUAGGAAGUGCUGCAGCAUAGGAAUUGUACAGAAUACCAGCCGUAGUCCUCGAAGCAAGUAGCAACUGCAGCCUGUAACUCAGGCAUUUGGUUAACAUUACUGCUGUAGAAUUUACUGUGCAUUCUCUUCCUCCAUAUCAGGAGCUAUCACCUUUUUAACAUCUUAGGGAAAUGAGAUGAGGCUGGAUGACUUCCCGCAGUAAUUCAUGGUGUCAGGCCGGGACACUAAUGGUUGGCAAGAUCCCCCAAUAGAGUAAAUGAGGGUUUUUAUUACCAGUGGGGACACCUCUGGGCUUUCAUCCAGUAAUCCCCCUGGCUUGUGCAUUUAGCACAACUCACAGCAAGGUGCAGAAAACAACAAAAAAGAAUGCUUCUGAUAAAUCAUUUGGUUAAGUAGCCUUUAAAAGCUGCUGUUUUACUGCUGAAGGAACAGCCUGCCACUCCUGUAUGGAGCAGUGGUGAUUCAUCUCUGUGCUCCUGAGAGCAGCGUCGGAGCCGGAGCCGUGUGGCAAAGCUCUGCAGUUCCUUCUCCUUUGAGUUUUAGACAUCUCUUCCUUCCUUGGCUCUCUAAUCUCCUAAUUCUGCUUGUUCUGAGUGCUCUGCACUUGGAGUAACUCCACUUGUUUUUGGCCUAACAGCAUCCAACUGGAAACCUGCAGAAUUUUGUGAUGAAAGCAGGGCGACUCCAGCAGGCUCAGCUUCCUCCAGCAGUUUAUUUUGGUCUAAAUCUUCACUUCUCUGUCUGGGCUUUUAUUAUUUUAUUAUGUUUUCUCCCUCUGUCUCUAAGGUGUAGGUUCUGUCUCUCAAGCUGAGUUCUUGGUCUACGAAUCCAAGCCCAGGCCUCACUGACAGCGCAGGUUAAACAAAUACAGUUUCCUGAAUACCACAGGAGGUCUGGGCUGAGUCUAAUCAUUGCAGGGUAGCCAUGCUGAUUGUUAAUAGGCUUCUCCUUCCUCUUGCUUUCCCCUGGUUGUGCAGUUUUCCCCUUGCCUGGCCCGGGCUCAGACACCCGCUGGUAGCAGCGGGGUGGCAGGAAGGUAACAAGCUUCCUUCAAACAACAUUCACCCUGCUCACGAGGGAUGCUAACUGAGGGCUGGCUUCCAACAAGAGCUGCGUCAGAGCUGGAAAGCUGCUUUUUACCUCUGACUUUCCUUCCUGCAUGGGGAUUUUGGGGAUGGAGCUAUAAACCGCAUCUCUUAUUUCUUAUUCAUUUGAAUCACUUGAAGCAAUAGCUGUUCUUUCUCCCUUUCUUUUGCUGUGUGAUUCUUUUUUUCUUUGUUUACAUAGUUGGCAAUGUAUUGCUAAAACACACCCCCGUUUUGCUUUUUAAUGAUUCAGUGUGCUCUUUCUUGCUAUCCUAUCUAUGAAUUCAUCUUUGAAAUUUGAAGGGAACAGCCCCCUGCAGUGAUUCUGUGCUCUCCAGUAGAGGAAUCAGGCAAGAAAAAUCACACCUAAACCUUAAAAAUGGGACCAGAUAAAAUGGAAGUUUAUCCCCAAACGAGCAGUUUUGGAAACCUGGUCACACUUUUCCUUCUAUGUAACAUGCGUGAUACUGUAGUUCCACGUGCAUCCUCUGUUUCUGGUAGGGCAGGGGUGAGAAAGUCAACACAAUUAGUCAAGGUUAAGACUACAUAAAGUGUGUGUGACUUAUGGGCAGGGGGAGGGAUGGCUUUGGCAGAUAUAGUGGCACUUUGACUUUCCUGAUUCUGUUUGGAAAGCUAAAAUUUGGCUGUGAAAUGUCUAUUUUGCUCUGUCAGCAGGACGUUUUUAUCCUACUCCCUCACUUUCUUACCCUUUUCUAGUCCUGCAUAUCUUUCUUUCUAGGCUUUGCAACUUCCUUCUUGACAAAUGUCCAUUCUUCUAGAACAUCCUGCUGCAAUUCUUUGUAUCAUGUGAUGUGGUCAGCAGAGGGUACCUCUAUGGGGGAAGGUGUGCUUUUUGGGAUGCCUGGAACCUACUGCAAUAUUGCUGCUUUCCUUCCCAGAAAAGAAGCCUGAAAUGAGUUUUGGAAACUUUUCCUCUGGCAAAAAGAAAAGAAAUCUAUCUGUGGAUUCAGGCAGACUAAAUGAGAAAAAUAAUAAUAGGGGAAGUUUUGAGUUAUAAUACAUGACAUCAGUAGGACAUAUAGCUUAGGAAAACUUAGCAGAAGGAAAACAAAAAGGCGUAGCCAUUCUGAGAAUGGCUUGAUGUUGAGGAAAAGUGAUAGAAUAAUCUAUUUGGCCUUGAGGUCCAGUAAAACAGAAGAGGAAAAAGAAGCCUGUUAGCAAGGGUGGAUAAGGGAAAUCCAUUAGAAGAGAAAGAGCAUGAAUUGGAUGUUUUGGAAGUUGCUGAAAAAGGUACGUUUGUUCAGAAAACAGAGGAAAAUGAAAGAAGAGUGUUUUAAAGGAAAAGGCUCCUGCAAAGCAAAUAAUUAUGUUUAAGAAUACUGUUUGUUGUGAUUAGCAAGUCAACCAAGUCUAAUUAAGUCUAAUUUUAUCACUGUCAAGCGUAAGUUUUGUCUGUGGAUGAAAAGCUCUGUAUAACACUCUAAGGACUUGUAUUUUGAGAAUGCUUCUGUUAAAACACAAGUUAACCUGUGACAGUUUGAUGUUUGUUGGAGUGCUCUGUAGCUUUUGGAAAAUGUGAAAUUUCUCUAUGCAGUAUCACUACUCAACUAUGAUAAGGUGUAGCAUGCAAUGUACCAGCAGGUGCUGAGGCUGAAGGCCAUGUAGUAAGAUAGGUAUGACUGAACGCUUGUAUGCAUUUGUAUAGGAGUAGCUCUUAGAACAUGAAGUAUAGUAGUUCUCCGCAACACUGAGAAAAGGUUGUUUAAAACAGUGCUUACCUGUGUACCCAAGGGGACAGAUGCAGUAAUACCUUCCUAUAAGGUUGAGGCACGUUGCCCCAUUCAGGCACGGGUCUGACAUGCAUUCAUUCACCUCCAGGUCGCAGUGCUUGCCUUGGUAGCCUGGGACACAGUAGCAGGAAUAUUCAUCAAUCCCAUCCCUGCACACUGCUCCGUUGUGGCAUGGUCCUGAGCUGCACUCAUCAACAUCCAUUUCGCAGCGUGUACCUGUGAAUCCUGUGCGACACAGGCAGGUGGGCUUGGCCAGGCCAUCAAGGCACGUGCCUCCGUGCUCACAGGGGUUUGUGUCACACUUACUGAUGGCUAUUUCACAAGUGGUCCCAUUGUACCCAUCUGGGCACUCGCAAGUGAAACUGAGGUUUCCAGCAGAACUUAAACAGGUAGCAUUUUGAAGACAAGGGUUUGAGGAGCAAGGAUCAGAGGUUUUAUUGCAGAGUUCUUCUGUAGUGCCGAGUGACGUGUCCAUACAACGGCAAAUAUCGUCUUUAUGAUCAGUAAUGCAUGUAGAGUUCUUUUGGCAGGAGUUUGACAGGCACCUGGAAUCAUUUCUCAUGGAAAGUGAAUCUAGGAAGGAAACAAAAAAAGGUCCUGAGGACUGCCCCAGCACUUGGACUAAACCAGAAAGAGCUGAAAAUCUUACCACAAAUCUGCAUCUUGUAGAUGUGAUCAUCAAAGGCCAUGCAAUUAUCAAACUGAGUGGUGUGGAAUUUACCAGGACAUUUAUGAUUAUUACUAUUUUCUAACAAAAGUCAUAUUAUUGAAUCACAUGUGUGCUUCAGAAAAUCCUUGGAGCUUGGAUUCUUAGUCUGAGAAUCUAUUUUCCGCUUGUUUUCCCACCUAUGUGAAAAAAGUUGUUUAUAGCACCUCCCUGCCUCCCCUGUGGAUGCUCAGUUUCCUCGCUGCUGUGGAGUGAUGUGGAAGGAUGGAUUUGGAAACCUACUGCUUCUGAGAGCUACAUGGAAACAGCAGAAGAAGAUGAAAGCAUAUGGAAACAGAAACCUCCAUGCUCUGUGAUGUGAUGUGGAAGGGUGUGAUGGUGUCUGAUGUGAAGUCUGACUCAGUCUGAGCAAAUGAUUAAAGAAUAUUUUCUACUGCGUUUGCAGAAGGGGUUGUAAAGGAAAUAAAUAUUUUGGUGGUUUUGA